Molecule: non-coding RNA, 3766 nt
Organism: Podarcis lilfordi (Lilford's wall lizard)
Lineage: Eukaryota; Metazoa; Chordata; Lepidosauria; Squamata; Lacertidae
Source: the annotation of a GenBank genome assembly
GGGACUCGCUAGCUCUGUGAGGAGAUGUGUGAUUCCUCAGCUGGAGUGGGCUUGGAACAGGUGAGGGUCACAUGCCUCAUCAAGCCCAGUUGCUGCAAUCAGCAGGCAAAGUAGGCCAGGGAAGCAGAGCUGAGGGGCUGGGUCUGCUCAGCUGUCCAUGAUACUCCAGGAUCUGAGGGACUGUGCUUCACUUUGGACUUCGGACACUUGGAUGGACCCUAGACUGGGGACUUGGCAUACUGACUUGCUGCCAGGUAGGCCAGGGGAUCAGGGCAAUAUGGCCUUUUAAAUGGGGAGGGGGGCUACUGUUUUUGUUUGUUACCAUAUUGUGUAAUUUUGUGUUUCUAUGUUGUAAAAUGCCCUGUGAUCCUUGGAUGGUUGUGGUAUAGCAAUUUAACGAAUAAAUAAUUGCCAGAAAUGAUGGGAGUUGUAGUUCAAAGAUAUCUGGGGACUCAAGUUUGGGAAAAGUUAUCCUACUGGUUGUAGUUGUAGUUGCGGAAGGACCUGCAAGCUGGGCAAAGACACUAGAUUCAAGAAGGUUUGUUUUGAAUAUUUGUUCCCAUUCCAAAUAGGUUGUUCAACUGGGCUACCUUAGGUAGUUCUCUUCUGAAGGUCAUGUUUAUCUGCUUCAUAACACAGCUGGCAUCUGUGUAUCUGUGUUUGCUUAAUUCAUUGUUUACCUUUCGAUGAUUUCAUUCUCCUGCUUGUUUUGUGCAACAUGGUUCAGUGGCCCCGACCUAGAAGUCACGUGAGCCGAAUUGAUCUGGAAUGUACAUGAAGGCGCUUACAUGUGGGUUGUAUUUCCGAGCCCACAUGUAGGAAAAUGAAAAUAUGUGGUGAUUAAUGAUAAUUGGAAAAGAUAGGUAUCAAUGUUUCCAGUCUGUGAUAGAAAGCUCAGAGAGAAAAAAUUAAGAAGCGCCCUGUGUUUCUGAGAUCUGAUUAUAUGGAUAAUGUGUGAAGAAUGGGCUAGGAAGCAAGAAAAAGAGAAAUUGCUGGACAAAAAUCUGUAACGUGCCCCCAUUAGUGUGUCUCUUCUAUGCCUUUGCAUCAUUUUCCACCUGAUAUGCUUUUUCACUCUUUGGACCAUUAACCAAGAAGUCAAUGAAAGUAGUUCCUAGAAGAAGGUAUAGAAGCAUAGAAACCUUAGGGUGUGGGGAGUAGGCAUUUUUCGUCACUGUCCCCCAAUUCGUUCAGCCACUCUCCAAAUAAAGAGCCCAUUUAACUACACCACACCCAUUGGAAGCAAAAGAUCUAAUUCUGCCUGGCUGCCAGGUAUUCUCUAUAUGGUCACUACUGCACAUUUAAAGAGCAGCCAUUGCAGCAGUGACAUCAGAUGCAGUAGCAACAGCAGCAACAUCUAAGACCUGGAAAGAGGAACCAGUGUUCCUACUUUGCCUUAUCUUAUGUUUACUAUAUAUACAUUUUUUGCUUAUUGUCAGCCUUCUUCACAGCCUGUUGUCUGGUAUUUUAAAUAGAUGCAUAGCCAAAAACAAUCUCUUUGGAUCUCCUCAGCGUUUUCUCUCCCUGAAGAAAGAGGAAUAAGUAGCAGAAAGGAUGACUAACACACAACAUAGCUUCGGAAGCGAGGGAAGAUGAUCAUGGAAAGAAGCAAAGUGAUGUUCCCUUUUGGCAAAAGGCAGGUUAAAAGGGGAUUUGCGUUUUAAGCCUGUGAUGUGCAACCAGCAUGGGAAGAUGUUCUGGUGCAACCCUCUUAAAAACAUGGUGAUGAAGUUUCCACAAAUGCAGUUCCUGUCAGAAAACAAAGAUUGUGUAAUUUGUAUUCUUUGGAAAGAGGAGCAAUUAAAAAAAAAAGUGGAACUGGGAUAAAAGCUCAUUCUCACCCUCUCUUCCCCAUCGUCACAGCCAUGGCUAGGCAAAGCCCCCUGAGAAAUUUGACUAGUAUCAAAACUGUUGUUGAGCUCUCUCAUAAUUCUACAUGUCUGUAUAAGCUGUUUCUUACACACUGCUUGGUUUAGUAAUCAUUGCAGUUUCUUACUUGGCCUCUGGGAUCAUUUAUGGGCAUCUGAUGAAAUGUAAGAAGGAAUGCAGACCUAUUUUGAACAUCAAAACUACUUGUUUGUGGGGUGUUUUGUAAGACUUCUACGGAUCCUAGGCGGGGUCAAAUCUCUUUUCUGCCUAAAUAGGACUGACUGAAAGAGUCUUUGUGAAGCUAGCCCUUUUGGUAAACAUGACAUCACCCCUCAAUGUCAUAAAUCUCCUGAUUCAGGACAAGAACCAACUAGUUUAUAGUCUUGCUUGCAGAGGCACCAGCAUUUCAAACAAAGUUAAAAGCUUUCUGCUAGACUAUGAUGCAACACUGGCUGCCACAAUUCAAAUGCACACAUAAGCGGGAAUCACUCAGCACAUUUGUGUCAAAGCAAGAAAACCGGGGGAGCUUUGAUUUAAUAAAUAACACAAUGUCAUUAUUAUUGUGGUUAAUAGGGAAAUUUAUCUGAGGGUGGCAGAUGCGGGAAGUCUUUUUAAUGUGGAGAAGUUUUUUUAACCAAGUAAACCUAUCAAAAUAAUCCUGUACCACAGUUUCAAUUACUAAAUGCCAUCUGCCCUCAUCCAAAGUCCUGUUAUGCACUGUGAGGCAGACACAGAAUUCUUUUAUGUUUUGUUUCCCCACUAACUUCAGUGGAGAGGGUGACUGAGGGCAUAAAGGGAUGUAUAAAACAUAAACUUAAAGAACCCCUGACAGUUAAGUCCAGUCACAGACGACUCUGGGGUUGCGGGGCUUAUCUUGCUUUACUGGCCGAGGGAGCUGAUGUUUGUCCGCAGACAGUUUUUCCAGGUCAUGUGGCCAGCAUGACUAAGCCACUUCUACUCCUGCUGAAAUGGUUUGGGGAAAUGACAGCAUUUUACCCCAAUCUACACUGAAUUUUCCAUUUACAUAGGCGUAUUAAAUUAAAAUGGAGCACCCAUACAUGGCAGGAUUUGGUUUGCAUUUGUGUGCACAAAUCACUUCCUGGGGUGAUUCAUUAGUGUGCAUGUGUUUAUCAUGGAACCUAUAACAUGCUUUCAUGUUUCCUGUGACGAGAGAGGAGGCCUGGAUUAGUUGUACUUUCACUGAUUGCUGCUGCCUUUCUUAACACGGCGGUCUGGAUUUUUGUGAAGAAAACCCAUCAAAGGAAAUUGUUGCUGCUGUGCAGUAUGUGGCAGAGAAAAGCUGCAGAUUACAUUCUAUUUCCCGACUCCUUUGCAGUUUUCUCUGUGUGCCUGGAGGCACCUGCUCCUUCUGACCGUCUCUUCUGUUCCUCCUGGAAUCUUAGGAACAUAGAAUUAUAUGAAUGGAAGUAUCCAAAGGGUCACCACACCCAUAAUCCUCCUCCAACCAGCACCCACAACCCCUACGGUGUGGGCAGCUGCUGCUUCUGCCACCAUUAACCACGUGAGCCACCCUGCCAUGUCCACAUCAGCUUGACAGAGCAGAGUAAAAAAAAAUUUAAAAAAAGAUUCACACAAAAAUCUUCAUCACUGGCACGGCACACAACAUUCAGAAUAGGGGAUUUGUAGAGGACCAGUUAGGACACCGCUCUGUCUUUGGGAAGAGGUUUAAAAAGAGGACAUCUGGACAUCCUUGGCAUGAGCUCUGGAAGGGGGAGAAAAUGUGAAACCUCCUUAUGCUUUCUCUCUCACUUCUUCUGCUGGAAGCGUAGAGCAGCCUUUGGGGGAAUUUCAACCCAAAUUUAGAGGAGUAAGAGAGAGAGGCUUCAAAAACAUAGCCUUUAAUGUAGAAGAUCAUUACGGACAUUCCCACAUUCAG